GAUGAACGCUGGCGGCGUGCUUAACACAUGCAAGUCGAACGGAGAUACAUUUGUAGCAAUAUAAAUGUAUCUUAGUGGCGGACGGGUGAGUAACGCGUGAGGAACCUGCCUUGGAGAGGGGAAUAACACAUUGAAAAGUGUGCUAAUACCGCAUGAUGCAUUGAGACCACAUGGUUUUGAUGCCAAAGAUUUAUCGCUCUGAGAUGGCCUCGCGUCUGAUUAGCUAGUUGGUGAGGUAACGGCCCACCAAGGCUUCGAUCAGUAGCCGGACUGAGAGGUUGACCGGCCACAUUGGGACUGAGAUACGGCCCAGACUCCUACGGGAGGCAGCAGUGGGGAAUAUUGGGCAAUGGGCGAAAGCCUGACCCAGCAACGCCGCGUGAAGGAAGAAGGCUUUCGGGUUGUAAACUUCUUUUAUUCGGGACGAAACAAAUGACGGUACCGAAUGAAUAAGCCACGGCUAACUACGUG
This 471-nucleotide ribosomal RNA is filed under the name uncultured organism. RNAcentral describes it as "bacterial SSU rRNA". It matches the Rfam family "Bacterial small subunit ribosomal RNA", at positions 28 to 507 of the family's 1533-position model. The record is from RNAcentral.